This is a small nuclear RNA of Ochotona curzoniae (black-lipped pika), 186 nucleotides long. RefSeq annotates it as U2 spliceosomal RNA. The record is from RefSeq and is a predicted model, not a curated record. The transcript has a single exon. Lineage: Eukaryota; Metazoa; Chordata; Mammalia; Lagomorpha; Ochotonidae.
AUCGCUUCUUGGCCUUUUGGCUAAGAUCAAGUGUAAGAAAAGGAACAUUCCAGACAGAACAUAUAAAUAUCAAUCUCAAAGGAUUAUUGGAUACUUAAAAUCUGAUAUUAAAACAUUUUUGAGUACAGUAUUGUUAUUAAACUAGAAACCUGUUUUUUCCAUGUCAGCAGAUGCGCUGGAGUUCCC